CUGUAAGCCUGCGAAGGUGGCCUGUGAGGGUUGCUGGAGGUAUCAGAAGUGCGAAUGCUGACAUAAGUAACGAUAAAGCGGGUGAAAAGCCCGCUCGCCGGAAGACCAAGGGUUCCUGUCCAACGUUAAUCGGGGCAGGGUGAGUCGACCCCUAAGGCGAGGCCGAAAGGCGUAGUCGAUGGGAAACGGGUUAAUAUUCCCGUACUUGGUGUUACUGCGAAGGGGGGACGGAGAAGGCUAUGUUGGCCGGGCGACGGUUGUCCCGGUUUAAGCGUGUAGGUGUGUGUUCCAGGUAAAUCCGGUUCACUUUAACACUGAGGCGUGACGACGAGGCACUACGGUGCUGAAGCAACAAAUGCCCUGCUUCCAGGAAAAGCCUCUAAGCAUCAGGUAACAUCAAAUCGUACCCCAAACCGACACAGGUGGUCAGGUAGAGAAUACCAAGGCGCUUGAGAGAACUCGGGUGAAGGAACUAGGCAAAAUGGUGCCGUAACUUCGGGAGAAGGCACGCUGACACGUAGGUGAAGUGAUUUACUCAUGGAGCUGAAGUCAGUCGAAGAUACCAGCUGGCUGCAACUGUUUAUUAAAAACACAGCACUGUGCAAACACGAAAGUGGACGUAUACGGUGUGACGCCUGCCCGGUGCCGGAAGGUUAAUUGAUGGGGUCAGCGCAAGCGAAGCUCCUGAUCGAAGCCCCGGUAAACGGCGGCCGUAACUAUAACGGUCCUAAGGUAGCGAAAUUCCUUGUCGGGUAAGUUCCGACCUGCACGAAUGGCGUAAUGAUGGCCAGGCUGUCUCCACCCGAGACUCAGUGAAAUUGAACUCGCUGUGAAGAUGCAGUGUACCCGCGGCAAGACGGAAAGACCCCGUGAACCUUUACUAUAGCUUGACACUGAACAUUGAGCCUUGAUGUGUAGGAUAGGUGGGAGGCUUUGAAGUGUGGACGCCAGUCUGCAUGGAGCCGACCUUGAAAUACCACCCUUUAAUGUUUG
This 993-nucleotide ribosomal RNA is filed under the name Salmonella enterica. RNAcentral describes it as "partial 23S ribosomal RNA". It matches the Rfam family "Bacterial large subunit ribosomal RNA", at positions 1241 to 2216 of the family's 2925-position model. The record is from RNAcentral. Lineage: Bacteria; Pseudomonadati; Pseudomonadota; Gammaproteobacteria; Enterobacterales; Enterobacteriaceae.